UCGAAGAGCUGAAGGACGGAAGCUGAAGAACUGAUUUCAUCAAAUUUGUUUACUAGAGGAAUUGAUAUUCAAGCAGUUAACGUUGUUAUCAAUUCUGAUUUUCCUAAGAACUCAGAAACGUAUUUGCACAGGGGAAAUGGAGGUGAUCAAAUUUGAAGUGGAUGAUGAAGAGUUUUUGAACUAUUG
Molecule: long non-coding RNA, 186 nt
Organism: Solanum pennellii
Lineage: Eukaryota; Viridiplantae; Streptophyta; Magnoliopsida; Solanales; Solanaceae
Exons: 3
Source: RefSeq, a predicted model, not a curated record